GGAAACGAUGUGGGAAGGCUCAGACAGCUAGGAUGUUGGCUUAGAAGCAGCCAUCAUUUAAAGAAAGCGUAAUAGCUCACUAGUCGAGUCGGCCUGCGCGGAAGAUGUAACGGGGCUAAGCAAUACACCGAAGCUGCGGCAAUAUCUUUUAGAUAUUGGGUAGGGGAGCGUUCUGUAAGCCGUUGAAGGUGAAUCGUAAGGUUUGCUGGAGGUAUCAGAAGUGCGAAUGCUGACAUGAGUAACGACAAAGGGGGUGAAAAACCUCCUCGCCGGAAGACCAAGGGUUCCUGUCCAACGUUAAUCGGGGCAGGGUGAGUCGACCCCUAAGGUGAGGCCGAAAGGCGUAAUCGAUGGGAAACGGGUUAAUAUUCCCGUACUUCUGACUAUUGCGAUGGGGGGACGGAGAAGGCUAGGUGGGCCAGGCGACGGUUGUCCUGGUUCAAGUGCGUAGGCUUGAGAGUUAGGUAAAUCCGGCUCUCUCUAAGGCUGAGACACGACGUCGAGCUGCUACGGCAGUGAAGUCAUUGAUGCCAUGCUUCCAGGAAAAGCCUCUAAGCUUCAGAUAGUCAGGAAUCGUACCCCAAACCGACACAGGUGGUCGGGUAGAGAAUACCAAGGCGCUUGAGAGAACUCGGGUGAAGGAACUAGGCAAAAUGGUACCGUAACUUCGGGAGAAGGUACGCUCUUGAUGGUGAAGUCCCUCGCGGAUGGAGCUGACGAGAGUCGCAGAUACCAGGUGGCUGCAACUGUUUAUUAAAAACACAGCACUGUGCAAAAUCGCAAGAUGACGUAUACGGUGUGACGCCUGCCCGGUGCCGGAAGGUUAAUUGAUGGGGUUAGCGCAAGCGAAGCUCUUGAUCGAAGCCCCGGUAAACGGCGGCCGUAACUAUAACGGUCCUAAGGUAGCGAAAUUCCUUGUCGGGUAAGUUCCGACCUGCACGAAUGGCGUAAUGAUGGCCACGCUGUCUCCACCCGAGACUCAGUGAAAUUGAAAUCGCUGUGAAGAUGCAGUGUACCCGCGGCUAGACGGAAAGACCCC
Molecule: ribosomal RNA, 1039 nt
Filed under: Vibrio cholerae
Lineage: Bacteria; Pseudomonadati; Pseudomonadota; Gammaproteobacteria; Vibrionales; Vibrionaceae
Description: partial 23S ribosomal RNA
Rfam family: Bacterial large subunit ribosomal RNA
Source: RNAcentral